This 682-nucleotide ribosomal RNA is filed under the name uncultured bacterium. Its description in RNAcentral is "bacterial SSU rRNA". It matches the Rfam family "Bacterial small subunit ribosomal RNA", at positions 54 to 784 of the family's 1533-position model. The record is from RNAcentral.
CAUGCAGUCGAGCGCACCUUCGGGUGAGCGGCGGACGGGUUAGUAACGCGUGGGAACAUACCCUUUUCUACGGAAUAGCCUCGGGAAACUGAGAGUAAUACCGUAUACGCCCUUUUGGGGAAAGAUUUAUCGGUGAAGGAUUGGCCCGCGUUAGAUUAGAUAGUUGGUGGGGUAACGGCCUACCAAGUCGACGAUCUAUAGCUGGUUUGAGAGGAUGAUCAGCAACACUGGGACUGAGACACGGCCCAGACUCCUACGGGAGGCAGCAGUGGGGAAUCUUAGACAAUGGGCGCAAGCCUGAUCUAGCGAUGCCGCGUGAGUGACGAAGGUCUUAGGAUCGUAAAGCUCUUUCGCCAGGGAUGAUAAUGACAGUACCUGGUAAAGAAACCCCGGCUAACUCCGUGCCAGCAGCCGCGGUAAUACGGAGGGGGUUAGCGUUGUUCGGAAUUACUGGGCGUAAAGCGCACGUAGGCGGACUAUUAAGUCAGAGGUGAAAUCCCGGGGCUCAACCCCGGAACUGCCUUUGAUACUGGUAGUCUUGAGUUCGAGAGAGGUGAGUGGAAUUCCGAGUAUAGAGGUGAAAUUCGUAGAUAUUCGGAGGAACACCAGUGGCGAAGGCGGCUCACUGGCUCGAUACUGACGCUGAGGUGCGAAAGUGUGGGGGAGCAAACAGGAUUAGAUA